Molecule: long non-coding RNA, 1402 nt
Organism: Anas platyrhynchos (mallard)
Lineage: Eukaryota; Metazoa; Chordata; Aves; Anseriformes; Anatidae
Source: RefSeq, a predicted model, not a curated record
UCUUGAGAACUCACUUAAAGUUCCUAUUUCUUCAGUCUGUGCAAUGUAUUUUCAGCAUUCAGUUUUAUAAGCUUCAAUCGCAUUUUAUUCUUACUCUUCCCUUCUCAAGCAUCCUAAUAUAUUCUCCAGAAAGUCAGUUCUUCCCUAGUUUCAACAGCUUUCCAUCAACCAUUUAUGAGCUUCUUUAAAAAAAAAUACACAAUGUUAUAUGUGUAUAGAUAUACAUCACAUAACUGUAUAUAUAUAAUAGUAUACCUACUAUAUGUGUUCAUAUAUAUAAACACCAAUAUAUAACAGUAUUACAAUAUUUCUGAUUUUAUUUUCUUUCCUAUUAUAACCUAAGGUAUUUUUAUGCACAUAUAUUAGCUUUGUUAAAUGCUAAUCUCUUGCAUUUGUUAAACAGAUUUUCACUGAUUUCUCUAUGACAGCAACUGAUCUGAAGAGUGACAACUGAUUCAUUCUGUAAUGUGCUCGCUGAAUAUGUAGCCUAAAGAUUCUUUUCUAUUGUAUACAGCCUUGGAAGAAAUAACCUUCUAGCAGUCGUGAGAGACAAAAUGAUCGAGCCAGUCAUGAUCCUGCACCUCACUGUUUGGCAGGCAGGAAAAGCAAAUCAUUGGGAAGACGGAUGAAAUGAAGGAGCAUCUACUGAAUUUCCUUUUGCAUUAAAAACCCCAAAACUGUCUCCAGUGAGGCUCCUGCUCAUUACUGCUCCCUGAAGCAACCUGUCUUUCCAUGCUAAUGAAGAGAAUUUAGGAAGAAGAAACAGGUUAAUGUUAAUCUCUGUUGUCAUGUUCUAUUUUUGACACAAAUGUGAUAAUUUUACCAGGCAUCAGUCAAGGACUUUGCACUGAAAGGACACUAUUAGUAUCUUCUCACAGGCUAGAAUCUCAUAUAGCCUAUCUGCAGACACCAUAUUGAAAGAAGGAAUAAUUUACCAGAAUGAAUUUGGGACAGAGCAUGACUAGGAGAUAAACUAGGAGGCAACAACAGUUACUUGUGUUGGCAAAAUGAAGGUUGGGAUGGGUUAUGACAAUAUUUCAUAAAUGUAUUUGGGGGGAAUAAAUUAAGUGAAGAGAACAUUUCAAGUUAAAAGGUAAUACAAGAUCAGGUCCAGGAAUAAAUUUACUCUGAAAACAUGCUUGAACUUUUGAGUUCUUAGACCUGGCUUUCUGUGCUCGGCAGUGGUGCGAGCAACCUAAACUCUUUUAAGAUGAAGCCUGAUGAUUUCAUUUCUGUGCCAGGACAAAAACGAUCCUUGAAUUAUAAACUCAAUGCUGGAUCUCUGGUUAUGGAUUUCUGGCUGAUUGCGCUGAUUUACCCCCACGGAGGGGACACAGAGCAGAGAUGCUAAGGACCAGGUGACCACACUGCUCUGUGUCAGCCUGGAGAAGAGGAGGCUAAG